RNAcentral lists this non-coding RNA (29 nucleotides) under Rattus norvegicus (Norway rat). Lineage: Eukaryota; Metazoa; Chordata; Mammalia; Rodentia; Muridae. The record is from RNAcentral.
UGAGUUUAAAGCUCUAUUUUGGACAGUGU